CUAUAGUCAAGUCUAUAGUCUAGUCUAUAGUCUAGUCUAUAGUCUAGUUUAGUUUAGACUAUAGACUAGACUUUAGACUAGCCUAUAGACUAGACUUUA
This 99-nucleotide microRNA precursor is filed under the name Lucilia cuprina (Australian sheep blowfly). Lineage: Eukaryota; Metazoa; Arthropoda; Insecta; Diptera; Calliphoridae. The record is from RNAcentral.